Non-coding RNA from Zootoca vivipara (common lizard), 4866 nucleotides. Lineage: Eukaryota; Metazoa; Chordata; Lepidosauria; Squamata; Lacertidae. The record is from RefSeq and is a predicted model, not a curated record.
GCUAAUCACCUGACCCUCCUGACUCACACUUCUAGGUGAAAGGUUACAGCCAGAAACAAACAAGGUCACAGCCAGAAACAAACACCCACACAAGCCUGGACAGUCACCCAAAUCCAAGAGGCAGCAGCCCUAGAAAACCAGCACAAGCACACAAACAAGUAAGAAAACAAAUAAGCACACAAACUUACUCACACACAGCCCCAAAAGACAAAGCCACAAAACCUACAGAGUGUCUCCCAAGCUCAGCUCACCUUCUGCUCCUUCCUCAGUCGCUGCACUCCAAGCUCUGACUAGCUCCGCCCACAGCUAAUCACCUGACCCUCCUGACUCACACUUCUAGGUGAAAGGUCACAGCCAGAAACAAACAAGGUCACAGCCAGAAACAAACACCCACACAAGCCUGGACAGUCACCCAAAUCCAAGAGGCAGCAGCCCUAGAAAACCAGCACAAGCACACAAACAAGGAAGAAAACAAAUAAGCACACAAACUUACUCACACACAGCCCCAAAAGACAAAGCCACAAAACCUACAGAGUGUCUCCCAAGCUCAGCUCACCUUCUGCUCCUUCCUCAGUAGCUGCACUCCAAGCUCUGACUAGCUCCGCCCACAGCUAAUCACCUGACCCUCCUGACUCACACUUCUAGGUGAAAGGUCACAGCCAGAAACAAACAAGGUCACAGCCAGAAACAAACACCCACACAAGCCUGGACAGUCACCCAAAUCCAAGAGGCAGCAGCCCUAGAAAACCAGCACAAGCACACAAACAAGGAAGAAAACAAAUAAGCACACAAACUUACUCACACACAGCCCCAAAAGACAAAGCCACAAAACCUACAGAGUGUCUCCCAAGCUCAGCUCACCUUCUGCUCCUUCCUCAGUCGCUGCACUCCAAGGUCUGAGCCCGUUGAAUAUUCCAACAUUUCACCAAUGAAAAUAUUUUUUCUCUACCUGCUUUUCUUGCUUCACCCUUCCCUCUUCCCUCCUCCAGGCCAACAUGCUGCCUCCUGGAUGCUGUUGAACUACAAUUCCAGCAUCCUGACUAUAGGUCAUGCUGGCUGGGGCAGAUGGAAGGUUAUGCAGCAAGACACAGUGAUAGGAAAGGUGUGGGGCUUGUGGUCUCCAGCAUGUGGUGAGAUGGACUGCUGGUGGCAGCCUGAUUUUGGAGCUGGCAUACCAAGGACCAAAGAACCAGAGGUGGGUCCCAUGAUUGAGGUGAGGCCAAGGGUCAGGAUCCAGAUCAGGAAAACAAGGAUCAAAGAGCAGAAGCUGGAGACAUGGCCACAGGCAGGCAGGGGGUCACAUAUCAGAUUGGGGAGAGACAAAUUCCUGCUGGUUCAGGUGAAAGGUCCAUCUAGCCCUGUAUCCUCUUCCAGGUACCCGUCUUUCUUUUUUACUCACACCCAAUCCAGUUUUCUCCUCCUUGUCUCAGUGCUGCCUUUUUAGGACAGCAGGAUGGAGAUAUUAGUUGGAUCUGCCUGCUAUUAUCUCUGGCUCCACCUAUAUACGAACAAAUGAAAUAAGACCCUCCUGGAUGACGAGGUCAGUGACCCAUCCAGUCCAGCAUCAUGCUCUUACUGUGGCCACGCAGAUUCCUCUGGGAAAUCUGCAAGUAGAACCUGCGUACAGGAGGACUCUUCCAUCCUGUGCCUUCCAGCAACUGAUAUUCAGAAGUGUUAGUGCCUCUGACCAUGGAGGCAGGGCAUAGCCAUCAUAGCUUGUAGCCAUGAAUUCGUUCAAUCAUCUUUUAAAGCCAUCUAAAUUGGUGGCCAGCAAAGCCUCUUGUGGGAGUGAGUUCCAUAGUUUAACUAUGCACUGCAAGGAGAAGUACUUUCUUUUAUCUGUCCUGGAUCUUCGGCAUUCAACUUCAUGGAAUGACCCUGAGUUCUUGUGUUAGAGAAAAGUUUUUCUUCUUUUCUAUCUACUGUCUCCUUGCCAUCUCUCUCUCUCUCUCUCUCUCUCUCUCUCUCUCUCUCUCUCUCUCUCUCUCUCUCUCUCGUUUCUGUGCAGUUUCCUAUUUUACCAAUCUACUAAGGAUUGUGGAAGAAUUUGUUUGACCUACUUUUCACAAACAGACCAACCCAAGCUGAAACCAGGAAAGUUGCCUGCAUUUAGAAUGCAACUCCCGUGGGGAUUAGGCAGUUCUAUGGAUUUCCCACUGAACUUUCAGUGGGAAUAAGUGUGUACAAAAAUAAUAAUUUCAUGGUGAAUGCAUUGAAAAUUGUAUUUUAAAUUUUUUUUAAAUGCACACAAUAGGGCACAUAAAAUACACACAAUAGGGCAGAAUAGCAUACAGUGGAACCAAACAGGAUGAAAUGUAGAUAUGGCAUAGUUAGAGAAAGACCAAAAUGUUGUUUAGCCCACCCCUAAUAACAACUCAUAAUGUUUGAAAAUCUUGAAAGCAGAUUAAAGUUUGCAAAAUAAUGAAAGCAAAUUUAUAUAACUCAUACUGUUCACAGAAGUCUGGCUGCUUUGAUCCUGAAUUUAGGUGACCUUGGGAAAGCAUGCGAAUCUUUCAAUGGGAAAGGGGUGCAGAUCACAGACAGUCCAAUUGGGAAUCAGAGGGAGUAUUUUGAAUGGGAGCUGCACCCUUACUCUCUACUUAGGACUUUUAGGGUCAUAUUAAUUAAAAUCUAAAUCUUUCCUCCCUCUCUUAAAUGACGUACAAAAUCACUUCAAACAUUUGGUUAAUUGCACAGAGGAAAUGCUGGUUCUAGUUCUCAUGUAACAACAACAACUCUUUAAACUGAACCAAAGUAAAAUAAAAGCUUCUUAUUGGACACCAAACAUUCCUGUCUGGAAAAACCUGCUGACUUCCACAGAACAAACGAGUUUCAAGCCGCUUGGUUUGAGAAGGUGCUCUUCUGCAAUCCAUGAAUGCUAACAUUCCUCAUCGCCAGUUUUCAUUCCCUGCUGUGCAAAAAGCUGCUGGUUCUGUAGUUCCUUUAUCAUGUCUGCUGCAUCCUUGACAAACACCAUAUGGAUGCUAAUAUGCCACAGCUGCUCCCACAGAAUGGGAAGUCAGGGGUAAAGGAAUUGUGUGUGCUUAAUGAAAGCUCUGUUUGGCAAGGAGACACUGAGCUGGCUUUAUCUUUAGAAGCUCCAGCAGGGGUAUCAAGGCACAAAAUCAUUGAAAGCAGCUCUAGAAACCUGUUGGGGCUGUUGAAAGGUCUGGUCACAGAAGCAUGUCCUUAUUUGAAUAGCAGGUAAAGAAACUGUAGCAGGGCAGGUGGUGGCAUGGCAGGGGCUGGAGAGAGGUGUUGGCAGGUAAUUCAAUCUAUACUCCAUUUGGGAUCUCUUACCGAUUCCUGAGAUACAGUCGUACUUUUGAAAGUCACAUUUCCUCUCCUUUUCCCACCCUGUCUUGGACCCACUCAUGGAGUGAACAGCCUGGACUGCCUCUUCCUCAAUGCCUCCCCUGUUUGCCGUAAAUAGGGGUGUAAUAGCACAGCCUUGCAGAAGGAGCAUAGACAUCUGGGUUUAUUUACAGCAUUUAUACCCCACUGUUUAGCCAAAGGUUCUCUGAACAGCUUAGAAAAAAAGUUUCUAAGGCACUCCCUGCCCUUCAGCUAAAAAUAUACAGUACAGUAUUGCAAAAAGAGAGAGAAAAGAAUGGGAGGGUUUGUGACUAGCCAGGGUACAAAAUGGACACAUAAUAUGUCCUCUCAGCAACAUACUUUGCACAAUCUUUGAAAAAAAGUUAGAUGUUUGGUUGCUUUCUGCAACUUUAAGUAACAUCUGCUGGGGAAUGCAAGGGAAACUGCAAUUAGUGAGUGAAUGAGGCCCUGAAUUCUUCAUUUUGGCCCUAGAGAGAUCUAGCAGCCUUGACAGCUCCAUAGAGGAAGAAAUGGAUGAACCCAAUAGGGUGGGUGUCAAAACAAAGGCAGGAAUGGCUCAGCCGAAGUGUCUGUCUGAAUGUAGCAGCACAGAUCUAACAAGUGUGCCUAGAUCUCACUACAGGCUGGCAAGAUGCUCUCAAGCUGCUCAGAUUGCCUUUCAAAGAUACAGGUAUUCACCAGAAAGCAGGUAUGCACUACCAAUGGGGAUAUCCUUUCAAGGGAACCCACUUUCUACUCUACAGCAUUGUAAUUGGGACAGGCAGCUAUCCUAGUAAAUGAUCUCAUAUUGGACUUAUCUGAUCCCAGUUGGGGGGCAGUCACAGGCGUGAACCACAAAGUGAAAAAGUGGGGUUCCUCCAAAGACCACAGGGCUCCAUUGAACAACAAAUGAUUCCUUAAUUAACCAGAAAACCUGACGGUCCUGAUUAAACAGCACUGGUAGAUCAUUUAUUACCCUCUUGAGCUAAUGCUUCUUCAAUGGCUAAUCUCUCUCUUGCUACAAGAACUGCUCUCCUUGGCUUAUUCACACUUUUGCCUCACUCUUUCUAGGCACAAGUCUGCACUUUAAUGCUACUACGUGUCCAAAUGGUUUUCAUUUGGUUUUUGUGGCCUGAACUUUCUUCUUGAAAACCUGCUAUUUAAAGCUGAAUUGAAGCAAACGUCAAAUUGGGUUUUCCAUGGAUUUACAUUUGCUCAGAUUGAGCUUGUAGAGCAGGUUUUCAUGGUGAAAGCUCUGGAGGGAAAAAAAGAGGGGAAAUUAAAUUUAAAAGCACUAGGCUACAGUGCUUUAAAUUGCAGACCCUGCCUGGAGAGAGCAGAGGAUAGGUAACUAUGGCAAAACUUCACGAGCCCUACACGUGUUUACUGCUUUUUGAAAACAAUGCUGCUGCACUCACUCUUUUGGUAUUUGCCACCCUCCUAUUUGGGUGGAUGUAGACCUGUGGGCAAUACCAGUCCAGCAAUCUGCAUUGUGAGACUUCACCUUAAGUCUCUCCUACUAUGAGACUUUAAACAACAACAACGUGUUUU